This 250-nucleotide ribosomal RNA is filed under the name uncultured Bacteroides sp. Its description in RNAcentral is "partial 16S ribosomal RNA". It matches the Rfam family "Bacterial small subunit ribosomal RNA", at positions 89 to 339 of the family's 1533-position model. The record is from RNAcentral. Lineage: Bacteria; Pseudomonadati; Bacteroidota; Bacteroidia; Bacteroidales; Bacteroidaceae.
UGGCGACCGGCGCACGGGUGAGUAACACGUAUCCAACCUGCCGUCUACUCUUGGACAGCCUUCUGAAAGGAAGAUUAAUCCAGGAUGGCAUCAUGAGUUCACAUGUCCGCAUGAUUAAAGGUAUUCCGGUAGACGAUGGGGAUGCGUUCCAUUAGAUAGUAGGCGGGGUAACGGCCCACCUAGUCAACGAUGGAUAGGGGUUCUGAGAGGAAGGUCCCCCACAUUGGAACUGAGACACGGUCCAAACUCC